RNAcentral lists this unclassified non-coding RNA (420 nucleotides) under Cabreraea andina. Its description in RNAcentral is "partial external transcribed spacer". The record is from RNAcentral. Lineage: Eukaryota; Viridiplantae; Streptophyta; Magnoliopsida; Asterales; Asteraceae.
GCAAUAGUGGUGUUUGGAUUGAUACGGGUGGUCGGCUCCCUGCUUGAGCAGGCACGGCCAUGCGUACAUUCCUCUUCAGUUAUCCGGCAGGGCUUGAUCGCCUUGAUCGUAUAUGUGGGUCUCUUGUGUUGCAUACCUGAUCAAUGGCAUCGUCUUGAUCAAAAUAGUCCCUUUUUCGUCAAGCACCGCUCUCGUGAUGUUGGAUGAACCAAGUAGGCACCCUCUUUGAUCCUUCCUGUUGACAGACAGUUGUUGAUGGUUUGGCCCAUUGAGGGAGUUUAGUCUUUGGAUAUGGAAGCCAAAAUGGGCAUGGGUUCGUAUGAUCCUUUUAUUGCCCUCGUUGAGCGUUCUCGCUUCUCUAAAACGACUGCCUUUCACGUAUGGCACGUCCCAGCGUGUUUGGCUACGUGAAGAGGAAUG